Molecule: ribosomal RNA, 277 nt
Filed under: uncultured bacterium
Lineage: Bacteria
Description: partial 16S ribosomal RNA
Rfam family: Bacterial small subunit ribosomal RNA
Source: RNAcentral
CGCUAUCGGUAUGCUUAACACAUGCAAGUCGAACGGACUAAUUGGGGCUUGCUCCAAUUAGUUAGUGGCAGACGGGUGAGUAACACGUGGGAAUCUACCCAUCACUACGGAAUAACUUUUAGAAAUAAAAGCUAAUACCGUAUAUUCUCUACGGAGGAAAGAUUUAUCGCUGAUGGAUGAGCCCGCGUCAGAUUAUGUAGUUGGUGAGGUAAUGGCUCACCAAGCCGACGAUCUGUAUCUGGUUUGACAGGAUGAUCAGCCACACUGGGACUGAGAC